Molecule: non-coding RNA, 227 nt
Organism: Cinara cedri
Lineage: Eukaryota; Metazoa; Arthropoda; Insecta; Hemiptera; Aphididae
Source: the annotation of a GenBank genome assembly
GGAUAAUAUUGCUGAGGCUUUUUUUUCUUGACCUUGAAUGAUGUAGCCCGGAUUUCUGAUAGGUCUUCCAGGGUGUUUCGAGUUUACAAAUUCAGUCAAUAAACAAUCGUGAUCUUCGAAUGUCAUUUUCUCAAUAUAAUUCUCAUCAAUUAGUUUUUGUUUAUCACAAAAAUACUCAGCACAAGCUACAUGACUACUAUUUAGUAAUCAUGAUGAGAAGUAUUCAU